Molecule: unclassified non-coding RNA, 905 nt
Filed under: Leishmania donovani
Lineage: Eukaryota; Euglenozoa; Kinetoplastea; Trypanosomatida; Trypanosomatidae
Description: gene:unknown
Source: RNAcentral
ACGAUGCGCCAGCUCAGCGGAACGAGUGUUUUAGGCUCAUCGCUUCACCAGUCACCACCCCGACAGAGACCGCCGCCGUUGUCAAGCGUGUUGGGUGCACCGAGUCCGGCAGCAGGCGAAUUCAGACGCCGCCUUACACUACGUGAGAGGUGAAGGGCGGACUAGGCAGCAGAGGCACUAGCGGGCCGAAGAAGAUCCUGGCAGCCCUCUCCGCGCCGAGGGGCAGCACCAGCCGCGAGAACCCUCAAAGAGCUCUGAAGGCAGGGCUGCCCGUCGAGUGGCCCGAUGAUCGGCCGUACAAGAGACGAUAGUGAGCUGCUCACAGGGGUGGAAGCUUGCCACGCGGGAAGACGACACGCCACAGAGCUGCCUUUUCUUCUGCUCGAGUGCAUAUGCCAACGUCGCUGUGUUUCACGUGCAUGCGGGCUGGCAGCUUCUCCGCUUGAUGGGCCUAAUCGUUUGCAUACGAUGCGCACGGCGAGCGUGCACUCCAGCCGACACACACCGCCUCCAGAACCUUUCAGGCUUAGACGUGGAAAGAGUAAUCCUUCGUUGGCAGGCUUAGGGAGGUCUCUCACACUCCCACGCAGCUGUGCCGGGCCGCGGCCCUCGGGCUGGAACGCGCGGAGGUGCUGCCUGUGGGGGGGGGGGGGGGAAGGGGAGGGGGCUCGAGGCCGCAGCCCCCCUAGCGAAGAAAUAAAUAUGUCGAGCGCGAGCGAGUCGCGAGACGACGCACGAGCAGCAGCAGGUCACACACGUUUUUUUUUUUCGUUCUUCAGUCCUCCACGCGUAGCCGGGAGAUCAGCGAAUUGUGUUCUGCGCAUGCCUCUUCUCUGCCGUGCAGCAUGCGGUCACUGCCACUGCACCUUCCUCCUCCCUCUCCUCCACCUCACCGUUACUCGGCG